CAAUAGCGUAUAUUUAAGUUGUUGCAGUUAAAAAGCUCGUAGUUGGAUUUCGGGUGGGACGCAGCGGUCUCGCAUUGCGUUUGUACUGCUGCAGCCCUCCUUCUUGCCGGGGGCGGCCUCUCGGACUUCACUGUCUGGGGGUCAGAAUCGGCGAUGUUACUUUGAGUAAAUUAGAGUGUUCAAAGCAAGCUUACGCUCUGAAUAUAAUAGCAUGGGAUAACACGACAGGACUCUGGCCUAUCGUGUUGGUCUAUAGGACCAGAGUAAUGAUUAAGAGGGACAGUCGGGGGCAUUCGUAUUCCGUUGUCAGAGGUGAAAUUCUUGGAUUUAUGAAAGACGAACUUCUGCGAAAGCAUUUGUCAAGGAUGUUUUCAUUAA
This 378-nucleotide ribosomal RNA is filed under the name uncultured eukaryote. RNAcentral's name for it is "partial 18S ribosomal RNA". It matches the Rfam family "Eukaryotic small subunit ribosomal RNA", at positions 592 to 976 of the family's 1831-position model. The record is from RNAcentral.